GGAGAGGUAUCGAAGUGGUCAUAACGAGGCGGUCUUGAAAACCGUUUGUCCGUGAGGGCGCAUGGGUUCGAAUCCCAUCCUCUCCG
Molecule: transfer RNA, 86 nt
Filed under: Lachnospiraceae bacterium
Lineage: Bacteria; Bacillati; Bacillota; Clostridia; Lachnospirales; Lachnospiraceae
Description: tRNA-Ser
Rfam family: tRNA
About the family: Transfer RNA (tRNA) molecules are approximately 80 nucleotides in length. Their secondary structure includes four short double-helical elements and three loops (D, anti-codon, and T loops). Further hydrogen bonds mediate the characteristic L-shaped molecular structure. tRNAs have two regions of fundamental functional importance: the anti-codon, which is responsible for specific mRNA codon recognition, and the 3' end, to which the tRNAs corresponding amino acid is attached (by aminoacyl-tRNA synthetases). tRNAs cope with the degeneracy of the genetic code in two manners: having more than one tRNA (with a specific anti-codon) for a particular amino acid; and 'wobble' base-pairing, i.e. permitting non-standard base-pairing at the 3rd anti-codon position.
Source: RNAcentral